GAAUUUUUUAAUAUUGACAGAGUAUCUUGCUUUGAAAAAAUUAUGUACUUUUGGCAUAUGCAUAAAGAAAAGGUUGUCUUGAAUCUGGUGACAACUGCUACCUUGUGGAGCUUGUGGAGGCUAAGAAAUGAAUUUUGCUUUCAGGGGCGCAAAUGGAUAAGUGUAAAAUGCAUUCUUGCAAAAAUAAGCUGCUAUUUACACCAAUGGAAAGUUCUCUGCGACGAUAAGCAAGCAACUCUUCUGCAGCGAAGCAUCCUCCUACUGGACAAACGGCGUGGGGAACUCCUCCGGAUCGCAUGGAGGUGAGGCUGGGGGAGACCAACUGAAAACAGGGCACUGGAGAUGGUGGAGCAUCCCUGAAGAUCUGAUUUGGACCCAUUCUUCUUUGUUCUCCUGUUUUCCUGUUGGUACUCUGUAAUAUUCAGUGUUGGACAAGUUUGUGUCCUAGCCAUAAACUGCUCUAUUGGCUGUAGGCGUUUAUCGUUCGAGUUAGAUGCUUUGUGGUAGUCGGUUCCUCAAUCUUUGUAAUGCUAUGACUGGUUGCUGUCUGCUUCAUUCUAUAAAAUGGGGCAGGGCAGACCUGCCAAAUUACACUCGAAGUUUCCUAUGGAGUGACCUUCUCAUCUUCAUAGGGAGCUGUAUGCAUAGUUUUAAAUAGCUCGCUAUAGCCCCGCUAUAGCCUUUUUAGCAAGGUGCCGCUAAAUGGUCUCAUGUACAAAUAGCCUGCUAUAGCCUACUAUAGCUCCGUUAUAGCUGAUUUGGAGGUCCGCCGCUAUUUGGAGAACAUGCUGACCGGGACGGUGCCGCUCGAGGUCCUCUCUCUUGUUAUUGUCGGAGACUUGACUAAGCUAAAUGUCACGAAAAAUAAUCUAGCCGGCACUGCCAGAUCAUCUAAAACAAGAGUGGCUACGGUCAUCCAGGACACGCUCAAGUGAAGACUACAAGCUAAGCAGUAGUGACAACCUCAACUUGUGCAAAAAUAAACUGAAUGAUGAUUGCUCCUUCUGAAACUGCUGCUAGUAGCUGCAUGCUUACCUCCGUUUCAACAAGGAAAAAAGAGAAAGUUGGGUGUGUGUCCACUGUAAUCAGUAGCAACAUCAAAAUAAUGAACCCUUCUGUGGACAUUUACCGCAUAUCCAGUAGUAUUAUCCGUCUUCUUUAGUGCCCAGUCGGUCCAAGUGAAGGAUAGUAUAUGUAUACGAAAGUCAUUGUGUACACAAUUACAGGUUGGUGGUCUAGUAGUACUCUUUAGCUUUUAGCUAUUCUCCAUGUUCAACCCAACAUGCAACUUUCAAUUGAAUUUGCAAAGAUCUUGAACGUGCAGGACAAUCGGCGACACCGGUCAAAAUGUGAGCAGAACACAAAACACUCGCCCACGACGCUGAGCAAAUGUACAGAAAGACCAACAGAUAUGUGGAUAGAAUGCAUAGAUUUAUUUCAAAUACGAUGACGCACAGACAGAGCUGGGUCUAUCCAAUGCAGUAUUAUGCAGUUGCUGUUUCUAAAAAUAGGUUGUGGAUGGUCCUUGGGCACUCUUAGCUGAAGCAUCGCCUAGACGAAUCCGCCUCAAAACACGUUGGUGCUGGCCAACUUUAGACCAUGGUGCCAUUGACUAGGCUGGGCAUCAUCCAGUACACCAUCCGACUAGAGUUGGUGGCAGGACGGUUCCUAUCAGAUCGCUAGUGGCAACACUGGUUUAGCGUCUCUCAAGAGAGAGAACAUGAAGGACAAAACUAGGGUGUAGGUAGGUACCCAGAGAACUGGCUAGGUGACCACAAAAAAAUUGCUUCUACAUCUCGCGCUUAUCAAGAUCAACUCAUUCACUUGGGUCCUAGAUCACCUGGAAGGCUGGAACAAGAGUUCUGCAAAUGCUUCUGUUGUCUCCUAUUUCCAUGUAUUCUUGCAUCUUUCUCGUUUUGCUCUCGUGCUCUCUCUCUCUGUGAUAUGUUUGUGAUACCAAUGCCCUCCAUCAAUUCUGAUCAUUUGACAAAGUAAGUUAAUGUAACCAAGGAGUUGAAGUGGAGUGGAACAGUGGAGCAAUUCCAUCCAAGAACCUUAUUCACUUGAGUGAAGGAUGGUGUGGUGUGUGUGUGUAUAUAUAUGUAUGGAAGAGAAGGACUGCGCACAUAAUUAGAGGUUGGUGGUGUAAAGAGCAUCUCAGCUGCCCUAUUUUAGGACACAAAAAGGAGGUGGAGUAAAAAAAAAUUAGGCACAAAAACUGGUUUUUUGGGGCACGAGAAUUCGCGGUCUCCAACCGCAACCCUAAAUUAGGGCACCCAGAUUAGCAUAGGAUACAAUCUGACACCAAAUUAGCAUAGGCUACAACCUGACAAGCGAAAUUGACAGGGGCUUUCUCUGUAGUUCCUUCAGAAAAUGGAACAAUAAAAGUCCGAAUUUCCUGAAGACUUAUAGAUGAAUUCCAACAGGGGGGCUGCAUGUUCUGAGCACUUAAACUGGAACGAUGCACUUGCACUGCACAUGUUCAGAGACUAGAAAGCACCCAAUUGCUGAAUUCCAUUUUCUGAGCACUUAAAUUGGAACGAUGCACUUGCACUUGCACUGCACGAGCUGCUGCUGCUUUCACUGGAGAAAAGACGAUGGAUUGGUCCGCUGGAAAUAGGGCGCGCACACACAAGUGAAGGUCUGGCCGUGUGGUUCACAGAGUAACAAACUAAAACUCAUUUGCCUAAAAUUUCUCCUAAAAUCAGUUUUAUGGAAACUCAUCUUUAAUUCUCCUAAUUCAAACAAGCAUUUAAAGUUUUUGUUAGGU
This is a non-coding RNA of Triticum urartu, 2770 nucleotides long. NCBI's taxonomy places the organism in Eukaryota, Viridiplantae, Streptophyta, Magnoliopsida, Poales, Poaceae. The record is from RefSeq and is a predicted model, not a curated record.